RNAcentral lists this ribosomal RNA (205 nucleotides) under uncultured bacterium. RNAcentral's name for it is "partial 16S ribosomal RNA". It matches the Rfam family "Bacterial small subunit ribosomal RNA", at positions 568 to 774 of the family's 1533-position model. The record is from RNAcentral.
UGCGUAGGCGGCUUUGCAAGUCAGAUGUGAAAUCUAUGGGCUCAACCCAUAAACUGCAUUUGAAACUAUAUUUCUUGAGUGCAGGAGAGGAAAGUGGAAUUCCUAGUGUAGCGGUGAAAUGCGUAGAUAUUAGGAGGAACACCAGUGGCGAAGGCGACUUUCUGGACUGUAACUGACACUGAGGCUGAAAGCCAGGGUAUGAACG